UACGGAGGGUGCAAGCGUUGUCCGGAUUUAUUGGGUUUAAAGGGUGCGUAGGCGGUUAUUUAAGUCAGAGGUGAAAGUCUGCGGCUCAACCGUAGGAUUGCCUUUGAUACUGGAUAACUUGAAUAUAGUUGAGGUAGGCGGAAUUGACAGUGUAGCGGUGAAAUGCUUAGAUAUUGUCAAGAACACCGAUUGCGAAGGCAGCUUACUAAGCUACAAUUGACGCUGAGGCACGAAAGUGUGGGGAUCAAACAGG
RNAcentral lists this unclassified non-coding RNA (253 nucleotides) under uncultured Cytophagaceae bacterium. RNAcentral describes it as "contains 16S-23S intergenic spacer region". It matches the Rfam family "Bacterial small subunit ribosomal RNA", at positions 524 to 776 of the family's 1533-position model. Lineage: Bacteria; Pseudomonadati; Bacteroidota; Cytophagia; Cytophagales; Cytophagaceae. The record is from RNAcentral.